GCGUGCAUCGUAUAAUGGCUAUUACCUCAGCCUUCCAAGCUGAUGAUGCGGGUUCCCGCUGCACGCU
Molecule: transfer RNA, 67 nt
Filed under: Vibrio crassostreae
Lineage: Bacteria; Pseudomonadati; Pseudomonadota; Gammaproteobacteria; Vibrionales; Vibrionaceae
Description: tRNA-Gly
Rfam family: tRNA
About the family: Transfer RNA (tRNA) molecules are approximately 80 nucleotides in length. Their secondary structure includes four short double-helical elements and three loops (D, anti-codon, and T loops).
Source: RNAcentral